GUGAUCUGUGUUCUGUCCUGGAGGUUGGAAAACUGGUUAAAGAAGCUGCGUCCCGGAGCAAUCUGAAGCGGGUGACGCUGGAGCUGGGGGGGAAGAACCCCUGCAUCGUGUGUGCAGAUGCUGACUUGGACUUGGCAGUGGAGUGUGCCCAUCAGGGAGUAUUCUUCAACCAAGGCCAGUGUUGCACGGCAGCCUCCAGGGUGUUCGUGGAGGAGCAGGUCUACUCUGAGUUUGUCAGGCGGAGCGUGGAGUAUGCCAAGAAACGGCCCGUGGGAGACCCCUUCGAUGUCAAAACAGAACAGGGGCCUCAGAUUGAUCAAAAGCAGUUCGACAAAAUCUUAGAGCUGAUCGAGAGUGGGAAGAAGGAAGGGGCCAAGCUGGAAUGCGGGGGCUCAGCCAUGGAAGACAAGGGGCUCUUCAUCAAACCCACUGUCUUCUCAGAAGUCACAGACAACAUGCGGAUUGCCAAAGAGGAGAUUUUCGGGCCAGUGCAACCAAUACUGAAGUUCAAAAGUAUCGAAGAAGUGAUAAAAAGAGCGAAUAGCACCGACUAUGGACUCACAGCAGCCGUGUUCACAAAAAAUCU
RNAcentral lists this small RNA (586 nucleotides) under Pan troglodytes (chimpanzee). Its description in RNAcentral is "retained intron". Lineage: Eukaryota; Metazoa; Chordata; Mammalia; Primates; Hominidae. The record is from RNAcentral.